This 277-nucleotide ribosomal RNA is filed under the name uncultured bacterium. Its description in RNAcentral is "partial 16S ribosomal RNA". It matches the Rfam family "Bacterial small subunit ribosomal RNA", at positions 28 to 298 of the family's 1533-position model. The record is from RNAcentral.
GAUGAACGCUAGCGGCAGGCUUAAUACAUGCAAGUCGUGGGGCAGCAGGUCCGUAGCAAUACGGAUGCUGGCGACCGGCAAACGGGUGCGUAACACGUACGCAACCUUCCUUCAGGCGGGGAAUAGCCCGGGGAAACCCGGAUUAAUACCCCAUAAUAUUUUGAGAUGGCAUCAUCUUAUUAUUAAAGCUUCGGCACCUGAUGAUGGGCGUGCGGCUGAUUAGGUAGUUGGCGGGGUAACGGCCCACCAAGCCUACGAUCAGUAGCUGAUGUGAGAG